RNAcentral lists this transfer RNA (56 nucleotides) under Onchocerca ochengi. RNAcentral describes it as "tRNA-Ile". Lineage: Eukaryota; Metazoa; Nematoda; Chromadorea; Rhabditida; Onchocercidae. The record is from RNAcentral.
GUUAUAGUAGUUUAAUUUUAGAAUUUUGCUUUGAUAGGGCAUAGGUUAUUAUAAUU